Molecule: ribosomal RNA, 388 nt
Filed under: uncultured bacterium
Lineage: Bacteria
Description: bacterial SSU rRNA
Rfam family: Bacterial small subunit ribosomal RNA
Source: RNAcentral
GACGAACGCUGGCGGCGUGCUUAACACAUGCAAGUCGAGCGGUAAGGCCCUUUCGGGGGUACACGAGCGGCGAACGGGUGAGUAACACGUGGGUGACCUGCCCUCAGCUCUGGGAUAAGCCUGGGAAACCGGGGUCUAAUACUGGAUAUGACUCCAUGACGCAUGUUGUGGGGUGGAAAGCCUUGUGCGGCUGAGGAUGGGCCCGCGGCCUAUCAGCUUGUUGGUGGGGUGAGGCCUACCAAGGCGACGACGGGUAGCCGGCCUGAGAGGGCGACCGGCCACACUGGGACUGAGACACGGCCCAGACUCCUACGGGAGGCAGCAGUGGGGAAUCUUGCGCAAUGGGCGAAAGCCUGACGCAGCGACGCCGCGUGAGGGAUGACGGCCU